This is a long non-coding RNA of Dalotia coriaria, 1350 nucleotides long. RefSeq lists it as uncharacterized. The transcript is spliced from 2 exons. Lineage: Eukaryota; Metazoa; Arthropoda; Insecta; Coleoptera; Staphylinidae. The record is from RefSeq and is a predicted model, not a curated record.
AAUUGUGAUACCUCAUUAACCAGUUGAAUGUAAUACUAUAGACGUUAAAAGACGUUAAAAGCAUGGAAAAUAAAUACAUUCAAGAAUUUAACAAACUCAACCGUAUAACUGUCAACUGGAACGACCUCUACUGCCGAAAAUGUGAUAAAUUUGAUACGAGAAAUGCAACUUCAAAAUACUCGUGAGCAUUUCCUCGAACACUUGAAAGAAUGCAUUCAUCGACCAAUCACAUGUCCCUUCGACAAUCUGCCGUUCAAGGAUGUGGAGGCAUUUAUAAAACACAUUCCAGUGCAUGAACACGUUGAGCAGGUAACGCUUAACUCACUGCAGAUUAAAUUAAACCUACAAACCAGUCGAAGCAAAGCAAUCUUAGCUGAAUACAAAAAUAAUUAUUUCUUGGUUUGUGUCAUUAAACAAAGCAACUUUCUUUCGUUUAAUGUUUCAAAACUCUUGGAUUAUUCGCCAUCGAUUAACACAUUCACAAUUGUAUAUCAAUAUAAAAACAUGUAUAUAUAUCUGCAAGGAGAUAUGAUAUCUCUUAGGGAUGUACUCGAUGAGGAAUUAACGAAUACUUUACUGCAAAAAACAGUUUUACUGCAUCCCGAAGCCAAGAUUACGAUUUAUUUCUAUGAUUAUGAGAAUAUACGCGCAUAUUGCAUCAAAGUGAAUAAAUGUACAGUGUGUCAGAAGCAAUUACUUGGACAUAUAAAACAUUGUGUCAAUGCGCAUGUAUGUUGUGUUGCCUGCGCUACAAGAAUCCAAGCGUGUUCAAUAUGCAAGAUUCCCCAACGAUUAAUUGACGUGAAUGUAACUUUAAAGUAUUUUUUAAAUGAUCCGCUUUUUGUUUGUGAUAAUUUAGACGCCGGAUGCUUGGAGUUUGUUAAAUUGAGUAAUAGAAUAGAACAUAAUAAAGUAUGUGCUUUCCGGACACUCAUUUGUCCCGAUUGUAGGACUGGAUUUUCCGCACAUAAAUUAUGUGAGCAUUAUGAAAAGAAUCAUGAUAUUAAAAGUAAUUAUUCGAUUUGUACGUGGACAUUUCAAAAUGAAUCCAUGUCUACUAUAUAUAUUUUAUACCGAUCGAAAGUAUUUUGUAUACGGAUAAAAUAUAGUGAUCUAGUUUUACAAUGUCGUGCUGAAUUGAUUAAUGGAGAUAAUGUGAGUGCAGCCAAGUAUCGAUAUCAAGUUGUUUUGAUGAAAAAUAGUAAAGUUAUAGCAAAAGUAGGUAAUAUUUGUUUAGGAACUGUUUUGAGUAAUACUCUGCCUGCUGCACAAGCCAUUGUGUAUAAUUCCGAUGUUAAUUUGGAGCCCUGUGUGACAAUUUUCUUUAAUAAUAAUGCUUGGAGUAUGCAA